GAGCCAUUCUCCUCCCCAGCUGCUCCUCACUCUUCCUCUGCCCCUUACACAUCUCCCCUGAUCUCUGCCCAAGAGAAAUUGACCGGCUUGACACUGACCGGCUUUAAAUGAAGCCUUGUUUGCUGAAACCAUUUCCACAUAUUGAUCUAUGAGGCAACAUUAUACAUCAUCCGGGGAAGAGUGGAGCUGAACAAAGUUGAUAACACAGGCAUCACAGAAGAGGAAUUUUAAGGAGGGAUUUGAAGGCGGGCAGACAUGGAUUUGCAGAUAUUUAUGGAGAGCUCUUCCUAAUGUGAGGGGCAGCAUGGGAGGAAGUUGCCAGACAUGGACUGAAGCCAUCCCAGAGAGGAUAUGAAACUGAAAAGGCAAAGAAUGAGUGAUUUACAUCAAUCACAAGUACGCUAUUCAAGAGGACGCUGCAAGCCAUUCAUUUGAAAAGCUAUUCUAAUGAAUGGGAUUCAUACUUCUAAAAUAAACCAAAGAGGGAUCUGCCAACAUCUUCCCAGAAUAAUCCUUGAUAUCAAAUGUUGAAUAUAUGGAGUCUUUCAGCAUAUCAAUUCAGCCAUGGGAUGUAAAUAUUGAAAAUAGAAUAAAAUGUAUAUGGUAACUUCUGUCUAUUACUGGAGACCACUGAAAAGCAUGAUUGUUUUUCUUCCCCCUAUAGGAAACUAAUUAUUUUAAUACAAAUUUCAUGGAUUUCCAUCUGAAUCUCCUACUGAACUCAUUGUCAGUGGUCAUUUAUUAUUUGAGUCCCUGCCUAUACCAUCCUUGAAUUCCACUAUUUUCUAUUAAACAUUUUCCCCUUUCCAACCUUUACUAUACACUCACUGCACUCUUAUGACCUGUUCCUGCCUCCAUGGCAGUAAAUGGACUUAAUUGGGAGAAGGAUUGAGUCCUUAGACAAGAUCAUCCAGAAAAGAAUAGAAUUAAAGACUGUUCUGAAAUCACAUUAGACCCUAGCACGGGAUAAACAAUAGGUAAAAUGUAUUUUCAGCUUACCCUUUAGUCCAUUUACACUUGCAAAGUAUUUUAAUUCCCUGGGAUUCCCCCCCACCCCCGCUUUCUACUAACUACACAAUACACUGGUUUUGACUGAUGUAGAUUUGCCAGUUGUUUCUGAUUAUGUGUAUUGAAUUCUGAAGGCAUUUAACUACUAUUUAUUUCCAAUAAUCCACUUAUAAGCAUUAGCAAGAUCAGCAUUUACAGUUUAAUUACCUGUUCUCAUGCCAUAAAAUUCAUCAGAGGGCUGAUGUAUUUUGUUUUUUUUUCUCAGAUACUCCUUAAAUGCUUCCAAAGGAAUUGUUGUCUGGAUAACAUAAUUGAACCAAUUCUACAACUUUUCCUGGGGUUAAAUGAUACUAGUGUUUAACAAAGCAAUAUUCCAGUUCUCAAGUCGAUAAGAUAGGAUGGUAAAGACUUGGUCCAGCAUAGGAUCUGUA
Molecule: long non-coding RNA, 1439 nt
Organism: Chrysemys picta bellii (western painted turtle)
Lineage: Eukaryota; Metazoa; Chordata; Testudines; Emydidae
Source: RefSeq, a predicted model, not a curated record